UCCGCUCCGGUUCACGUCCGCACACCCGUGCGACGACCCGGCGC
Ricinus communis (castor bean) is the source of this 44-nucleotide non-coding RNA. The record is from Rfam. NCBI's taxonomy places the organism in Eukaryota, Viridiplantae, Streptophyta, Magnoliopsida, Malpighiales, Euphorbiaceae.